ACGGAAGGCAGCAGUGGGGAAUAUUGCACAAUGGGGGGAACCCUGAUGCAGCGACGCCGCGUGAGUGAAGAGGUAUUUCGGUAUGUAAAGCUCUAUCAGCAGGGAAGAAGAUGACGGUACCUGACUAAGAAGCACCGGCUAAAUACGUGCCAGCAGCCGCGGUAAUACGUAUGGUGCAAGCGUUAUCCGGAUUUACUGGGUGUAAAGGGAGCGCAGGUGGCGAUGCAAGCCAGAAGUGAAAGCCCGGGGCUCAACCCCGGUACUGCUUUUGGAACUGUGUUGCUGGAGUGCAGGAGGGGCAGGCGGAAUUCCUGGUGUAGCGGUGAAAUGCGUAGAUAUCAGGAGGAACACCGGUGGCGAAGGCGGCCUGCUGGACUGUAACUGACACUGAGGCUCGAAAGCGUGGGGAGCAAACAGGAUUAGAUACCCUGGUA
Molecule: ribosomal RNA, 434 nt
Filed under: uncultured Lachnospiraceae bacterium
Lineage: Bacteria; Bacillati; Bacillota; Clostridia; Lachnospirales; Lachnospiraceae
Description: partial 16S ribosomal RNA
Rfam family: Bacterial small subunit ribosomal RNA
Source: RNAcentral